This 465-nucleotide ribosomal RNA is filed under the name uncultured bacterium. Its description in RNAcentral is "partial 16S ribosomal RNA". It matches the Rfam family "Bacterial small subunit ribosomal RNA", at positions 28 to 507 of the family's 1533-position model. The record is from RNAcentral.
GAUGAACGCUGGCGGCGUGCUUAACACAUGCAAGUCGAACGGAAAGGCCCAAGCUUGCUUGGGUACUCGAGUGGCGAACGGGUGAGUAACACGUGGGUGAUCUGCCCUGCACUUCGGGAUAAGCCUGGGAAACUGGGUCUAAUACCGGAUAGGACCACAUUUUGGAUGGUGUGGUGGAAAGUUUUUCGGUGUGGGAUGAGCUCGCGGCCUAUCAGCUUGUUGGUGGGGUAAUGGCCUACCAAGGCGUCGACGGGUAGCCGGCCUGAGAAGGUGUACGGCCACAUUGGGACUGAGAUACGGCCCAGACUCCUACGGGAGGCAGCAGUGGGGAAUAUUGCACAAUGGGCGCAAGCCUGAUGCAGCGACGCCGCGUGGGGGAUGACGGCCUUCGGGUUGUAAACUCCUUUCGCUAGGGACGAAGCGCAAGUGACGGUACCUGGAGAAGAAGCACCGGCUAACUACGUG